UCUUCCGCAAUGGACGAAAGUCUGACGGAGCAACGCCGCGUGAGUGAUGAAGGUUUUCGGGUCGCAAAACUCUGUUGUUAGGGAAGAACAAGUAUCGUUCGAAUAGGGCGGUACCUUGACGGUACCUAACCAGAAAGCCACGGCUAACUACGUUCCCGCAGCCGCGGUAAUACUUAGGUGGUAAGCGUUGUCCGGAAUUAUUGGGCGUAAAGCGCGCGCAGGCGGUUUCUUAAGUCGGAUGUGAAAGCCCCCGGCUCAACCGGGGAGGGUCAUUGGAAACUGGGGAACUUGAGUGCAGAAGAGGAGAGUGGAAUUCCACGUGUAGCGGUGAAAUGCGUAGAGAUGUGGAGGAACACCAGUGGCGAAGGCGACUCUCUGGUCUGUAACUGACGCUGAGGCGCGAAAGCGUGGGGAGCGAACAG
Molecule: ribosomal RNA, 422 nt
Filed under: uncultured bacterium
Lineage: Bacteria
Description: bacterial SSU rRNA
Rfam family: Bacterial small subunit ribosomal RNA
Source: RNAcentral